This 301-nucleotide ribosomal RNA is filed under the name uncultured bacterium. RNAcentral's name for it is "partial 16S ribosomal RNA". It matches the Rfam family "Bacterial small subunit ribosomal RNA", at positions 509 to 808 of the family's 1533-position model. The record is from RNAcentral.
CAGUAGCCGCGGUAAAACGGAGGGUGCAAGCGUUAAUCGGAAUUACUGGGCGUAAAGCGCACGCAGGCGGUCUGACAAGUCAGAUGUGAAAUCCCCGGGCUUAACCUGGGAACUGCAUUUGAAACUGUCAGGCUGGAGUCUUGUAGAGGGGGGUGGAAUUCCAGGUGUAGCGGUGAAAUGCGUAGAGAUCUGGAGGAAUACCGGUGCGAAGGCGGCCCCCUGGACAAAGACUGACGCUCAGGUGCGAAAGCGUGGGGAGCAAACAGGAUUAGAUACCCGCGUAGUCCCUGUCUCUUAUACA